AUGAAAAUUGUACCUUACAGAAAAGGAUUUGGUUGCAAGAAAAAUGACAAGGAUAACUGGGGUAUUGCAGGGGCCACUAACGAGGUGGCGACCCUGAAGGAGGCGGUGGCCACGGCCGAAUGCAAUGCGGCUGCGGAGCGCACCGAGCGAGAGAAACAGGAGGCGCGGGUGGCGGAGGUACAGCAAGAGCUCCAGGAUCUCGUGAGGAAACAUGAGAGCCUGGAGCGUGACUCGAAGACUCGAGAGUCUGAGCUUGCAACGGCUCUUGAGAGUGCCAAAGCCGCUAAGGCCGAAGCCUACAAGGCCCUCCAGGAGAUAGAGGCGGUGAAGAAAAUAGCAGCGGGUAAGGCAUUUUUCAUGCAAAGUAAGCAUGUGAGUGUUAAUUACCUGUCGCUUACCCGAAUUCGGAGCUCUCCAGGAGCGUUCGCAGAUCUUCCCCGCAGCGUGUCCGAUGCUGUCGCAUUCUACCGGGCCAAUGAGGGGAGCUCAACGGAGAAGGUCUUCUGGUCUCAGUAUGCUGAGGCCGGACAUCCGGUGCCCCUUAGCGACCAGCUGAAGCAGCUGGUCGAGCUCCACAAGGCGGCCGAACAGGCCAUGAAGGGCCUCAUAGUUCGGUUGUGGCCUAAGGAGGCUAUGCCUGGGAGCUACUUCGGUCUGGUGCGGCGGCUGGUGGACGCGUGCCCGUGGGUUGAAGUUAUCAAGCAUUCCGCCUGUAUCAAGGGUGUGCGUCGGGCCCUUGCCCACGCAAAGGUGCACUGGGGCAAGAUGGAUGCCCAGAAGCUUGUGACGGACCCCCCACCAGAGGGCAAGGAGCAUCGCACGCCCGAGAUGUAUUAUAGGAGUGUGCUGAAGGGCGCCCGCAUUAUUGCGGGUGAGUGCUCCAAAGAAGAAGUUUUUGAGUAG
RNAcentral lists this ribosomal RNA (903 nucleotides) under Triticum aestivum (bread wheat). RNAcentral describes it as "partial small subunit ribosomal RNA". Lineage: Eukaryota; Viridiplantae; Streptophyta; Magnoliopsida; Poales; Poaceae. The record is from RNAcentral.